This is a small nucleolar RNA of Salmo trutta (river trout), 79 nucleotides long. The record is from Ensembl. Lineage: Eukaryota; Metazoa; Chordata; Actinopteri; Salmoniformes; Salmonidae.
AUCUUGUCAAUGAUGUUUUCAAAACAAAUGUCUGAACAUAUGAAUUUCAGUGAUUCUUACUUGUUGGCUGAGACAUGAU